UUCUUAACCUGGCAGGGGAAAUACCAUGAUCGCCAGGGUGGGUUUCCCAGGGCAAGGCUUAUCCAUUGCACCUCAGCAGUGCUGAUCCCUGCGAUUUCCCCAAAUGUGGGAAACUCUACCAAAUAACUUGGUAGGGGGACAACAUUUGUGCUCUCUCUAA
Onychomys torridus (southern grasshopper mouse) is the source of this 160-nucleotide small nuclear RNA. RefSeq annotates it as U1 spliceosomal RNA. NCBI's taxonomy places the organism in Eukaryota, Metazoa, Chordata, Mammalia, Rodentia, Cricetidae. The transcript has a single exon. The record is from RefSeq and is a predicted model, not a curated record.